CAGUCGCCGCGGUAAUACGUAGGGUGCAAGCGUUAAUCGGAAUUACUGGGCGUAAAGCGUGCGCAGGCGGUUAUAUAAGUCAGAUGUGAAAUCCCCGGGCUCAACCUGGGAACUGCAUUUGAGACUGUAUGGCUAGAGUGUGUCAGAGGGGGGUAGAAUUCCACGUGUAGCAGUGAAAUGCGUAGAUAUGUAGAGGAAUACCGAUGGCGAAGGCAGCCCCCUGGGAUAACACUGACGCUCAUGCACGAAAGCGUGGGGAGCAAACAGGAUUAGAUACCCCAGUAGUCCCUGUCUCUUAUAC
This 301-nucleotide ribosomal RNA is filed under the name uncultured bacterium. RNAcentral describes it as "partial 16S ribosomal RNA". It matches the Rfam family "Bacterial small subunit ribosomal RNA", at positions 509 to 807 of the family's 1533-position model. The record is from RNAcentral.